RNAcentral lists this ribosomal RNA (515 nucleotides) under uncultured bacterium. RNAcentral describes it as "partial 16S ribosomal RNA". It matches the Rfam family "Bacterial small subunit ribosomal RNA", at positions 28 to 523 of the family's 1533-position model. The record is from RNAcentral.
GACGAACGCUGGCGGCGUGCCUAAUACAUGCAAGUCGAGCGGACUUUCAAGAAGCUUGCUUUUUGAAAGUUAGCGGCGGACGGGUGAGUAACACGUGGGCAACCUGCCUGUAAGACGGGGAUAACUCCGGGAAACCGGGGCUAAUACCGGAUAAUAUCUUUCUUCGCAUGAAGGAAGGUUGGAAGGCGGCGCAAGCUGCCGCUUGCAGAUGGGCCCGCGGCGCAUUAGCUAGUUGGUGAGGUAACGGCUCACCAAGGCGACGAUGCGCAGCCGACCUGAGCGGGGGAUCGGCCACACUGGGACUCGGACGCGGCCCAGACUCCUAGGGGGGGCAGCAGUAGGGAAUCUUCCGCAAUGGACGAAAGUCUGACGGAGCAACGCCGCGUGAGCGAAGAAGGUCUUCGGAUCGUAAAGCUCUGUUGUCAGGGAAGAACAAGUACCGUUCGAAUAGGGCGGUACCUUGACGGUACCUGACCAGAAAGCCACGGCUAACUACGUGCCAGCCGCCGCCGUAA